GAUGAACGCUGGCGGUAUGCUUAACACAUGCAAGUCGAACGGUGUCUUCGGACACAGUGGCGGACGGGUGAGUAACGCGUGAGAAUCUGGCUUUAGGUCUGGGACAACCACUGGAAACGGUGGCUAAUACCGGAUGUGCCGAAAGGUGAAAGGUUAACUGCCUGAAGAUGAGCUCGCGUCUGAUUAGCUAGUUGGUGUGGUAAGAGCGCACCAAGGCGACGAUCAGUAGCUGGUCUGAGAGGACGAUCAGCCACACUGGGACUGAGACACGGCCCAGACUCCUACGGGAGGCAGCAGUGGGGAAUUUUCCGCAAUGGGCGAAAGCCUGACGGAGCAAUACCGCGUGAGGGAGGAAGGCUCUUGGGUCGUAAACCUCUUUUCUCAGGGAAGAACACAAUGACGGUACCUGAGGAAUAAGCAUCGGCUAACUCCGUGCCAGCAGCCGCGGUAAUACGGAGGAUGCAAGCGUUAUCCGGAAUGAUUGGGCGUAAAGCGUCCGCAGGUGGCUAUGUAAGUCUGCUGUUAAAGAGUCUAGCUCAACUAGAUAAGAGCAGUGGAAACUACAAGGCUAGAGUGCGUUCGGGGCAGAGGGAAUUCCUGGUGUAGCGGUGAAAUGCGUAGAGAUCAGGAAGAACACCGGUGGCGAAGGCGCUCUGCUAGGCCGCAACUGACACUGAGGGACGAAAGCUAGGGGAGCGAAUGGGAUUAGAUACCCCAGUAGUCCUAGCCGUAAACGAUGGAUACUAGGCGUGGCUUGUAUCGACCCGAGCCGUGCCGUAGCUAACGCGUUAAGUAUCCCGCCUGGGGAGUACGCCGGCAACGGUGAAACUCAAAGGAAUUGAC
This 843-nucleotide ribosomal RNA is filed under the name Nostoc sp. 'Nephroma parile cyanobiont'. RNAcentral's name for it is "bacterial SSU rRNA". It matches the Rfam family "Bacterial small subunit ribosomal RNA", at positions 28 to 914 of the family's 1533-position model. Lineage: Bacteria; Bacillati; Cyanobacteriota; Cyanophyceae; Nostocales; Nostocaceae. The record is from RNAcentral.